Molecule: non-coding RNA, 133 nt
Organism: Peromyscus maniculatus bairdii (prairie deer mouse)
Lineage: Eukaryota; Metazoa; Chordata; Mammalia; Rodentia; Cricetidae
Source: Ensembl
GGCCUUUUGUCCCCUGGGCUGUGGGGAUCACGUUCCUCCUCAGCCAGGGAUGGAGGCCAAGAUCAGUCUGUGAGGAGCAUCUUCGUCAAGACUGCCGUGAGUGGGCAGCCUUGUUUUCCUGCCUCAGACAUUG